GACGAACGCUGGCGGCGUGCUUAACACAUGCAAGUCGAACGAUGAAGCCCAGCUUGCUGGGUGGAUUAGUGGCGAACGGGUGAGUAACACGUGGGCAACCUGCCCCAAACUCUGGGAUAACCCCUCGAAAGAGGAGCUAAUACCGGAUACGCACUGGACAGACAUCUGUACCCGUUGGAAAGUUUUUCGGUUUGGGAUGGGCCCGCGGCCUAUCAGCUUGUUGGUGAGGUAACGGCUCACCAAGGCUACGACGGGUAACCGGCCUGAGAGGGCGACCGGUCACACGGGGACUGAGACACGGCCCAGACUCCUACGGGAGGCAGCAGUGGGGAAUAUUGCGCAAUGGGCGAAAGCCUGACGCAGCGACGCCGCGUGAGGGAUGAAGGUCUUCGGAUCGUAAACCUCUUUCAGUAGGGACGAAGCGAAAGUGACGGUACCUAAAGAAGAUGCACCGGCUAACUACGUGCCAGCCGCCGCCGUAA
This 482-nucleotide ribosomal RNA is filed under the name uncultured bacterium. Its description in RNAcentral is "partial 16S ribosomal RNA". It matches the Rfam family "Bacterial small subunit ribosomal RNA", at positions 28 to 523 of the family's 1533-position model. The record is from RNAcentral.